Gasterosteus aculeatus aculeatus (three-spined stickleback) is the source of this 864-nucleotide long non-coding RNA. Lineage: Eukaryota; Metazoa; Chordata; Actinopteri; Perciformes; Gasterosteidae. The record is from Ensembl.
CCCGCACACAAUCUACAAACCAUAGUUGGACGUCUGCAGGGGCCGCAUCACCACAAGACAAAAGGAGAAAAUAUGCAGCUACAGAGAGUUUAAGACGUCUAUCACGGGACAAUUUUGCCACACCGGUGCAACAAUGGAACACUGUGAUGGUGAGUAGCGUAUUUUAUUGUUAAUUACAUGUAUUAGUAAAAUAAGCAUCAUCAUUAUUCUUAAAAGUAUAUAUUCAUUAAGGUUUCUCAACGAUAUGACAGCCCAAAUGGGAUUAACCACCCAGAGCACCAAUGAGAUCUUUUAGAUAUCGGCUGCAACCGGAAUCCUAAAGCUUGCGGAAAGCUAACUACAAGCUACAAAGCUAACUACAGACUUAGAUAAGAAACCUUCAAGAAAUAGAAAAGAAAAUCAAGGCGUUGAGUGGCUCACCACUGCCCUCAACAAGCAAGGCAUCUUGACAAGGUAAUGAAGUGAUUGGUGUGAUAUAAAAAGUAAAGAACAAAAAUGUUAUUAUAACUGUGAAAUAUUUUCGAAAACGGCCUAUGGAUUCCUCCCAAUAAAGAGGGUGGGGUUAAACACUCAAAUUGAGGGUAUAUUUUUAGAUUUGCGUUUAUGUACAUGUGUUUAAACAGCUUUCUUUUAUUAUUGCACCGACGGGAUGUGGCGGCUUGGUCUAAACCAAAUGAAGAGACUGAACUUUUUAUUCCAAGAUACGUCGACACGAUAAGCGAUGAGGAGUUAUUCCGCUGUGCUGAGCUCGAAGAGGAUGUGAGAACAGGAGGCCGCAGGAGCAAGCAGGAACAAGAUCACGAGGAAAGCAGGAACCGGAUUUUGCGAACAUCAUCACUCAAACAAACCAACGGCAGACGAGGG